AGCAGCCGCGGUAAUUCCAGCUCCAAUAGCGUAUAUUAAAGUUGUUGUGGUUAAAAAGCUCGUAGUUGGAUCUCGGCGGACUGAGGGCGGUUUGCUUGCUAGUAUUACUGCCCUAUAGUCCGUAGUUUUGCCAGAGGUUUCGGGGUGCUCUUAAUCGAGUGCCCCGGGAUGCUGGCAGGUUUACUUUGAAAAAAUUAGAGUGCUCAAAGCAGGCUAUUACGCCUGAAUAUUCGUGCAUGGAAUAAUAGAAUAGGAAGUCGUUUCUAUUUUGUUGGUUUUCGGAAAUCGACUUAAUGAUUAAUAGGGACAGUCGGGGGCAUUUGUAUUCAAACGACAGAGGUGAAAUUCUUGGACCGUUUGAAGACAAACUACUGCGAAAGCAUUUGCCAAGAAUGUUUUCAUUAAUCAAGAACGAAAGUUAAAGGUUCGAAGGCGAUUAGAUACCGCCCUAGUUUUAACCAUAAACGAUGCCAGCUAGCGAUCUGCGGACGUUUUUUUUGUAGACUCCGCAGGAAGCUUCCGGGAAACCAAAGCAUUUGGGUUCCAGGGGAAGUAUGGUUGCAAAGCUGAAACUUAAAGGAAUUGACGGAAGGGCACCACCAGGAGUGGAGCCUGUGGCUUAAUUUGACUCAACACGGGAAAUCUCACCAGGCCCGGACACUGGAAGGAUUGACAGAUUGAUAGCUCUUUCUUGAUUCGGUGGGUGGUGGUGCAUGGCCGUUCUUAGUUGGUGGAGUGAUUUGUCUGGUUAAUUCCGAUAACGAACGAGACUCUGUCCUGCUAAAUAGUGUCUGCUUCUCUUUUGAGCAGACAAUUCUUCUUAGAGGGACUGGCGACUCUUAGUCGCACGAGAUUGAGCAAUAACAGGUCUGUGAUGC
This 878-nucleotide ribosomal RNA is filed under the name uncultured eukaryote. Its description in RNAcentral is "SSU rRNA". It matches the Rfam family "Eukaryotic small subunit ribosomal RNA", at positions 569 to 1470 of the family's 1831-position model. The record is from RNAcentral.